RNAcentral lists this ribosomal RNA (702 nucleotides) under uncultured archaeon. RNAcentral's name for it is "bacterial SSU rRNA". It matches the Rfam family "Archaeal small subunit ribosomal RNA", at positions 129 to 815 of the family's 1478-position model. The record is from RNAcentral.
ACCCCGGGAAACUGGGGCUAAUGCCUGAUAGGCGAGGACGCCUGGAAUGACCCUUCGCCCAAAGGGUGCUGAAACCACGCACACAGCAUCGCCUAAAGACGGGGCCGCGACCGAUCAGGCAGUUGGCGAGAUAAAGGCUCACCAAACCUAUAACCGGUACGGGCCGUGAGAGCGGGAGCCCGGAGAUGGGCACUGAGACAAGGGCCCAGGCCCUACGGGGCGCAGCAGUUACGAAACCUCCACAAUGCACGAAAGUGCGAUGGGGCUACCCCGAGUGCCGUCCGCUGAGGAUGGCUUUUCCUUAGCGUAAUGAACUAGGGGAAUAAGGAGAGGGCAAGACUGGUGUCAGCCGCCGCGGUAAUACCAGCUCUCCGAGUGGUAGGGAUGAUUAUUGGGCUUAAAGCGUCCGUAGCCGGCUCAACAAGUCCCCUGUUAAAUCCAACGACCCAAUCGCUGGACUGCAGGAGAUACUGCUGGGCUAGGGGACGGGAGAGGCCGACGGUAUUUCCGGGGGAGGGGUGAAAUCCUAUAAUCCCGGGAGGACCACCAGUGGCGAAGGCUGUCGGCUAGAACGCGCUCGACGGUGAGGGACGAAAGCUGGGGGAGCGAACCGGAUUAGAUACCCGGGUAGUCCCAGCUGUAAACGAUGCGGGCUAGGUGUUGGGGUGGCUACGAGCCACUUCAGUGCCGCAGCGAAGGUAU